Molecule: long non-coding RNA, 2872 nt
Filed under: Salmo salar (Atlantic salmon)
Lineage: Eukaryota; Metazoa; Chordata; Actinopteri; Salmoniformes; Salmonidae
Description: lncRNA (ENSSSAG00000096674.1)
Source: RNAcentral
CCAUACAGGAAGUGCCCUGUCUGACAAUUUGUUCUCCUUCUAGGGCAUCUCUAUCAAAAAUACAGCAUCUCUGCUGUAACGUGACAUUUUCUAAGGCUUCCAUUGGCUCUCAGAAGGCGCCAGAAUGUGGAAUGAGAGCUCUCCAGUCUCUGGGCGAAAAACAGCAGGAGUUUUUGUGAGUGGUCAGGCUGAGAACAAUGACACUGGAGUGCACGUGCACGAGACGACUCCAUGUUUUUCUUUCAGUCUAUGAAUGAAUAUAAUGUCGCCCGGUUGGAAUAUUAACGCUAUUUUACGAGAAAAAUUGCAUAAAAAUUGAUUUUAAACAGCGUUUGACAUACUUCGAAGUACGGUAAUGGAAUAUUUAGAAUUUUUUUGUCACGAAAUGCGCCCGCGCAUCACCCUUCGGAUAGUGACCUCAACACACGAACAAAACGGAGCUAUUUCAAUAUAACUAUGGAUUAUUUUGAACCAAAACAACAUUUGUUAUUGAAGUAGAAGUCCUGGGAGUGCAUUCUGACGAAGAACAGGAAAGGUAAAGUGGAGCUGAGAACCAGUACUGAGGUAAAGGCUCAGUGUGAUCAGAAUGUGUCCCUGCAGUGUGACAUCAUGUCACCGAGCCCACUCAAGAUCAUUCUCUUUUCCUGGGUAAGGAAAGGGAAACAGCUGUGUGUGGUCAAUGCCACUGGUGUAUUCUCCUUUCCUGGCGUCCGGUGUGACAACACAAACAACACCCUCACACUCAAUCUGACUCGGGUGAUGCCGUCCAGUCAGGGUAACUACACCUGCAAACUGCGCUCCAACCUAACGAUCACAGCUGCCAACACCACUGUGACAAUGCAAGAGUGCCUAAGGACAUCUGAGCACAAAGUGUUCCAGAAUGAGUCUCAGGUUGAGUGCCAGUUAUUUGGAGUUUACCCAGAAGGCACAGUACACUGGUUCCUGGGCUCUGAGAAUAUAACAGAGUCCGCCAGCACAAAGAGCCAGCUGGAUGAAGAGGGGCUGUUUGAUAUAAGGAGUACCCUGCCUACCCAGGCUGGGACUGAGCCUUACAACUGCUCCUUGUGGAUACCUAGUAGUGGAACCUACAGCUCUCACAAACAGCUGCACUACUCCAGGGGGCUCUCUUCAGGGACAAAGACUAGGAGCAGACUGCUGUUGUUCUUCAUCCUGGUUGGACUCAUAAUCAUAAUUUAGGACUACUCAUGGGAAGGUCAGGAGUUUUUUUACUGAAUAUGGGACUUCGAACUACAGUAGGGCAAAGGGCUUUUCUGGUCAGGGCACAUCUACACAGGAUGGAUCAGGGCCUUUCUCUUACUGAGUGAAGAGAAAGCAAACCUGGACUGCCAUGGCCAAAGUAGAUAUAUGUUUUCACUUAUUAUACUGGGAAGCAAAAUAUCAAAGAAAUUGCAAUAAAUACAAUUGAAUUUUAAAGCUGAAAAUCAUUGUACAUUGGGAUUUGAGAAUACUGUAAGAAGUAUUCAUCCGUUCAUCGUUUGUCUUCAACGUUAUACACUUGCUUAAAUUGCAUUGCUUAUUACAGUAGUAGAGUACUGCUUCCUGGUGGUGAAAGUGUUUACUGAUGGAAAUAGUAUUGAUGUUAGAUGAGUAAUAAAGCUGUUCUAAAUUGUAUUGUUGAAUUGACUGAUCUUGCUUAUUAAGUCUGUCAUAUCUUGUUGCUGUGUUUUCCAGUCAGCACUGAUUAGACUGAUUAUAUAAUCAAUCAAUGCAAUGUCAAAACAUGGCUAGAAGGACAUGUUACUGUGUGUUCUGGAUUCUAAAAUACAACUUGAAUUGUACCAUAGCAAAUAUAGUCACCCGUGUUGUUUUCUGUACUAGUUCUCAAUUUAAAAAUGAACCAGACCACCCUGGGUACUCAUGACAUUGACAGUAAAAGAAUGAGGACUCAUGGUCAUUCAAAUUGCAUUUCUAGUUCCUUCUCAGUGUACCACAAGGGGGCAGAGUCAUCCCACCAGAGAGGACUGUCAAACCAAUCAUACACAACUCUUCUCCCUCUGCAUACAAACACACACUCAUGCUGUGUGAAUUCCAAUCCAACUGUUCUGUAUAAAUCAACACUUUGAUGUGACACAUUUCCUAUCAAUUUCCUCUACGCCAAUGUGGGUCUCCUGCAAAGUGAAGGAGUGAAGGGUAAAAUGUCUGUCAUUAUAAAACACUCAAAUAAAUCCACAUGACUUCUGUGGUGUCAAACUCACAUCUCUAAUGCAUUAUCCAGGUGCGAGGAUAUGUAAUGUGUUUUAGAUGGACUGACCUUGUUGCACAUGUUGUGUGGGCUGCUGUGAGAGAUGUUAAAAGUACCUGUUGAGUACACAGUAUAACAACACAUGCAUUUUUCUGAUAAAUAGGUACAUUUCCCCAACAAUUGUGAGGAUUCCUGCAAAGUGGGAUGUCAUUAUCAAACACUAUGAGUCCUGUUGUCAUUAUCAAACACUCAUCAAUAUGAUGAGUACUGUUGUCAUUAUCAAACACUCAUCAAUAUGAUGAGUCCUGUUGUCAUUAUCAAACACUCAUCAAUAUGAUGAGUCCUGUUGUCCCAAGCAGGGCAUGAUCAGAAAUAUAGUGUUUUAAAUCGACUGACAGUUUGUUUCAGUAAAAUCAAACAUUAUCUAGAAUGGAGAUGAUGGUGUUGUGUCUUUGCAUCAUUAAAACGGAAGACAUGUUUAUCAAAUAACUUUCUGUAAUUAUUAUUACGCGAUUAAACUGAUUAAUCGUGUAACUGUAAUUAACUAGGAGGUCGGGGCACCAAGGAAAAUAUUUAGAUUACAAAGUUAUAAUUUUCCUAAUAUAACUUUCAGAUAUCAUACUAUCUGAUCUGAGUCUUCUGAUUAAUGAUGUGUUAUUUACCUCGCCA